RNAcentral lists this ribosomal RNA (484 nucleotides) under uncultured bacterium. Its description in RNAcentral is "partial 16S ribosomal RNA". It matches the Rfam family "Bacterial small subunit ribosomal RNA", at positions 30 to 507 of the family's 1533-position model. The record is from RNAcentral.
AUUGAACGCUGGCGGCAGGCCUAACACAUGCAAGUCGAGCGGAUGAAGGGAGCUUGCUCCUGGAUUCAGCGGCGGACGGGCGAGUAAUGCCUAGGAAUCUGCCUGGUAGUGGGGGAUAACGUCCGGAAACGGGCGCUAAUACCGCAUACGUCCUGAGGGAGAAAGUGGGGGAUCUUCGGACCUCACGCUAUCAGAUGAUCCUAGGUCGGAUUAGCUAGUUGGUGGGGUAAAGGCCUACCAAGGCGACGAUCCGUAACUGGUCUGAGAGGAUGAUCAGUCACACUGGAACGGAGACACGGUCCAGACUCCUACGGGAGGCAGCAGUGGGGAAUAUUGGACAAUGGGCGAAAGCCUGGUCCAACCAUGCCGCGUGUGUGAAGGAGGUCUUCGGAUUGUAAAGCACUUUAAGUUGGGAGGAAGGGCAGUAAGUGAAUACCUUGCUGUUUUGACGGUACCAACAGAAGAAGCACCGGCUAACUUCGUG